UACGUAGGGGGCAAGCGUUGUCCGGAUUUAUUGGGCGUAAAGAGCGUGUAGGCGGCCAGACAGGUCAGCUGUGAAAACUCGAGGCUCAACCUCGAGACGUCGGUUGAAACCGUCUGGCUAGAGUCCGGAAGAGGAGAGUGGAAUUCCCGGUGUAGCGGUGAAAUGCGCAGAUAUCGGGAAGAACACCCGUGGCGAAGGCGGCUCUCUGGGCUGAGAUUGACGCUCAGGCACGAAAGCGUGGGGAGCAAACAGG
RNAcentral lists this ribosomal RNA (253 nucleotides) under uncultured bacterium. Its description in RNAcentral is "partial 16S ribosomal RNA". It matches the Rfam family "Bacterial small subunit ribosomal RNA", at positions 524 to 776 of the family's 1533-position model. The record is from RNAcentral.